This 253-nucleotide ribosomal RNA is filed under the name uncultured bacterium. RNAcentral's name for it is "partial 16S ribosomal RNA". It matches the Rfam family "Bacterial small subunit ribosomal RNA", at positions 524 to 776 of the family's 1533-position model. The record is from RNAcentral.
UACGUAGGGUGCAAGCGUUGUCCGGAAUUAUUGGGCGUAAAGAGCUCGUAGGCGGUCUGUCGCGUCUGCUGUGAAAACUCGGGGCUUAACCCCGGGCCUGCAGUGGGUACGGGCAGACUAGAGUGCGGUAGGGGAGACUGGAAUUCCUGGUGUAGCGGCGAAAUGCGCAGAUAUCGGGAAGAACACCCGUGGCGAAGGCGGCUCUCUGGAACGCAACUGACGCUGAGACGCGAAAGCGUGGGGAGCAAACAGG